This 660-nucleotide ribosomal RNA is filed under the name uncultured bacterium. RNAcentral's name for it is "bacterial SSU rRNA". It matches the Rfam family "Bacterial small subunit ribosomal RNA", at positions 8 to 694 of the family's 1533-position model. The record is from RNAcentral.
AGAGUUUGAUCCUGGCUCAGGACGAACGCUGGCGGUGUGCUUCACACAUGCAAGUCGAACGGAGUAGCAAUACUCAGUGGCGGACGGGUGAGUAACACGUGGGAAUCUACCAUUAGGUGGGGAAUAGCAGGCCGAAAGGACUGCUAAUGCCGCAUAUGUAGGCAUCGCGACAGAGAUGUUUAUGAAAGGAGUAAUCCGCCUUUUGAUGAGCCCGCGUCCGAUUAGCUAGUUGGUAGGGUAAAAGCCUACCAAGGCGACGAUCGGUAGGUGGUCUGAGAGGAUGAUCACCCACAAUGGGACUGAGACACGGCCCAUACUCCUACGGGAGGCAGCAGUGGGGAAUUUUACGCAAUGGGGGAAACCCUGACGUAGCGACACCGCGUGAGCGAAGAAGCCCUUUGGGGUGUAAAGCUCUGUCAACAGGAACGAAACAAAUGACGGUACCUGUGGAGGAAGCAUCGGCUAACUACGUGCCAGCAGCCGCGGUAAGACGUAGGAUGCAAGCGUUGUCCGGAUUUAUUGGGCGUAAAGAGUUCGUAGGCGGUUUGUUAAGUCUGAUGUUAAAGACCGGGGCUCAACCUCGGAAAUGCAUUGGAUACUGGCAGACUGGAGUGCAGUAGAGGCUAGUGGAAUUCCCAGUGUAGCGGUGAAAUGCGUAGA